AAGGGAGACCUAAUUCCAGUAGGAGACGAAAAAAAAGUAGUCCCUACCAAGAAUCAAUCCCAAAAGGUCGGAGCGAGGCAAAAUUGGCUUUCAAACUAGGUUCUGGGUUCACACAAGACCUGAAUCAGGAACAAGGGCUAUUAGCUCAGGUGGUUAGAGCGCACCCCUGAUAAGGGUGAGGUCCCUGGUUCGAGUCCAGGAUGGCCCACCUGCACAGGUGGAAGAAAGAAAAGAAGCUCCGAAUCAGCACCUUAUCUUACUUAUAUAGUAAGAGAGAAUGCUAGCUCUGAGUACAGAGUCCAGAGGAACCUUGAAAACUGCAUAGAGCUGGGUGAAAAAGCCAAAAAAGAAGACCGCAAGGUCAAGCUAAUAAGGGCUAACGGUGGAUACCUAGGCAC
This 398-nucleotide transfer RNA is filed under the name uncultured Microcystis sp. Its description in RNAcentral is "bacterial LSU rRNA". The stretch from base 135 to 208 matches the Rfam family "tRNA". The record is from RNAcentral. Lineage: Bacteria; Bacillati; Cyanobacteriota; Cyanophyceae; Chroococcales; Microcystaceae.